GUUGCCUUCAGGUACAGACCUCCCUUGCAAAAAAGAUCUGUGAUCUCAGUGGGAUUUUCCUUUUUAAAUAAUAAAGGUAAACAGUUUUCUCCAAGGGACUCCUUCAGUCUGAGGAGUUGCAGGGAAACUCAGCUUCAUAAGCAAUACAUUCCCAAACUUUUAGUAUGUUUUUAGUAUAACCCAAGUAUAUGUAACAUGAACUUUGUUCGGUAUUUCUGUUAUGUACAUAAGACGUAAUCUAAAAGUAUACUCUUAUUUUUCAGUUUAAAAUUAGUGUACUUAAAGGACACAUGUACAUGCUGUGUCACUAUCUCCCUGCUGCCAGUGAAAUGGCUUUUAAUAAGGAGAUUAAACAAUAGGACUGUAGUAGUAGGGAUGCAUCAAUAUAAAAAACGACCAGACCACUGACAUGGCUCUCUACUUCAGUUACUUCUGGCUGUGCCAUUAUUAUUGUUAUCAUGAUCAAACACAACCAUUUCCCUUCCCGAAACAGAAACACAAACUGCAACAAGUGGGAAAUCAAUAUCGGACAUUAAUAUUGUGUCAUGAAUUAAGCCUGUUCUCUGCCAAGUCAAGUCACAGCCAAGCCUUCACUCAUUGUCUCACCCCUCCCGUCACAGAAAAAUCCAAUCAGCGUCAUGUCACUCACCUGUUCACAGCAGUAUUUAAACUCCACUCUCCCACAUCACCAGUGCCAGAUUUAUGAACGGUUUUUCCUAGUAGUUAUCCAGCAUCCAUGUCACGUCUUGCCUGCCUCGUUACGACCUUGAUUUUGCUCUCUGGAUUCACGCUCCUUGCCUCAUCCCUUAACGGUACUGUAUCGGACUCUGAUCUCCUGGUUUUGACCCACGCACUCCUCUCUGGACCUCUACCUCCCGUCGCUUCCCCUGUCGGACCUGUUCAGUCAUCUGUCUCCCGGAUUCUGACCCACGCCUGUGUACACCGACCACGAGUAAAGUCCAGCCCUCAGUACCUGUCUCGGAUCUCUGACCACAUGUGUAAGACCCAAGACUGCCUCACGGAAAAACCCAGAGUUCGUAAACUCACUCAAGCCUCGCAACCCGGAAGUGCUUUCACCGGACUUCAUCCAAGACUCUCAAAGUCUUUUAAGAGUGCUGUUGGGACGUCCUGUACUCUAAAAAAAACUCCUGAUUCCUGUGACGUUCGCUUCCAGAUCCAGCUGUUUACAUUUUAAUAAAAACCUUAAAACUA
Molecule: long non-coding RNA, 1212 nt
Organism: Austrofundulus limnaeus
Lineage: Eukaryota; Metazoa; Chordata; Actinopteri; Cyprinodontiformes; Rivulidae
Exons: 2
Source: RefSeq, a predicted model, not a curated record